RNAcentral lists this ribosomal RNA (497 nucleotides) under uncultured bacterium. RNAcentral's name for it is "partial 16S ribosomal RNA". It matches the Rfam family "Bacterial small subunit ribosomal RNA", at positions 28 to 507 of the family's 1533-position model. The record is from RNAcentral.
GAUGAACGCUGGCGGCGUGCUUAACACAUGCAAGUCGAACGAACGGGCGAGCAUCUUGCUUUUCUCAUGUUAGCGGCGGACGUGUGAUUCACACGUGCAUCCCCUACUUAUAUUUCUGGUAUAACUUCGGCAAUCCGGAUCCAACACCCGAUCAUAUUUUGAACCCCAGGGUUCAUAAGAGCAAGUCGGCCUUGCUGGCUCGAAUAGAGGCUUCCUGGCUGGAUUAGCUAGUUGGUAGGGUAACGGCUUACCAAGGCUACGAUGCAUAGCCGACCUGAGAGGGUGAUCGGCCACACUGGAACUGAGACACGGUCCAGACUCCUACGGGAGGCAGCAGUAGGGAAUGUUGGGCAAUGGGCGAAAGCCUGACGGAGCAACGCCGCGUGAGUGAUGAAGGUCUUCGGAUCGUAAAGCUCUGUUGUUGGGGAAGAACAGAUGUGUAAGUAAAUGAGGACUUCUUGACGGUACCUGAUCAAAAAGCAACGGCUAACUACGUG